RNAcentral lists this ribosomal RNA (496 nucleotides) under uncultured bacterium. RNAcentral's name for it is "bacterial SSU rRNA". It matches the Rfam family "Bacterial small subunit ribosomal RNA", at positions 29 to 518 of the family's 1533-position model. The record is from RNAcentral.
AUUGAACGCUGGCGGCAUGCCUUACACAUGCAAGUCGAACGGCAGCGCGGGAGCAAUCCUGGCGGCGAGUGGCGAACGGGUGAGUAAUAUAUCGGAACGUGCCCAGUAGUGGGGGAUAGCCCGGCGAAAGCCGGAUUAAUACCGCAUGAGACCUGAGGGUGAAAGCGGGGGAUCGCAAGACCUCGCGCUAUUGGAGCGGCCGAUAUCAGAUUAGCUAGUUGGUGGGGUAAAGGCCUACCAAGGCAACGAUCUGUAGUUGGUCUGAGAGGACGACCAGCCACACUGGGACUGAGACACGGCCCAGACUCCUACGGGAGGCAGCAGUGGGGAAUUUUGCGCAAUGGACGAAAGUCUGACGCAGCAACGCCGCGUGGGUGAUGAAGGUCUUCGGAUUGUAAAACCCUGUCGCCAGGGACGAAGGGUGGGGCGUGAAUAGCGUUCUACUUUGACGGUACCUGGAAAGGAAGCCCCGGCUAACUCUGUGCCAGCAGCCGAC